GUACGUAGGUGCUCAAUAGAGAAUGAGUUCACUGAACACGAUCAACGAAGAGUUCUCAUAUUCAUGUCACAUAAGAACUCAUGGUUGGGAUAAUGCAAAGUAGUUCUUUGACCUGAGGCAUCAUAGUUGUCUUGUGGUUAAGUCCUUGAUCUUUGAUUAUGUCAAAAGUCACUCCAAAAGGAGGGUGUCCACGACAUCGUCGGGGUUAAGCCACUUAGCCAUGGAGGCAAGUGAAUGUGCAACAAGGGAUCUCUAACCUUCAAACCGUUUGAGGGAGAAUACUCUAUGAUAUGAUUAAGAAUCUCUGGCCAGAGUAUGAAUGAGAUUUAGGAAGUCGUUCUAAAUCACAUUCAAGGUAAUCAUAUAAGCACACGAAUCACAUUGGAUAGUAGACAUAAAUAAACUAUCAAACCAAACAAUGUGGUCAAGAGUAUUGUAUUAGAGAAAGACCGUAUUGCAUUUGUAAUCCUAAACUGAAUAGGUUCUCCACCUCUUCUGAUUAGCUUGGGUAACCAUGAUAUGCUGCUAGGUGUCACUCAUGGUUUGUGGAAGCCCUAAACGUGUAUAAUCACUAAAGGGAGAAUUGAAAGUACGUUUCAAUUCACAAUCGAUUUGAAAUGGUUUUAAUCGCCCACUGCCUCGCUAAAAGGAACCUAAUGGAUCGUACACUGUGUAGGGUGGAGAUUGAAGAAACAAAGGAGAUGAGUAAGGAUAAUUAAAUGGUUGAAUUAUUUAUGGCAAGGAUUAAUUAAUAUGUUAAUUAAUCAAACGAAUAAGUUGGUUAAAGACCACGGGUUUAGUUAUGGGCCUCAAGGCCCAAUGGGCUUCGAACGUCAAGCCCAUUGACUUAAGUUGUAUGACAACUUAAUGACUAAUAAUUCACAAAGGCCUUAAAAGCCCAAUGAAAGCCUUAAGGUCGGCCAUUUAGAGAUGGAGUGGGUUUUGGACUUAUUUACAAGUUUGCCACUCCAAUGAAUUAAGGUAUAAAUAUGACUUUAUAGCCAAAAUUCAUUUAGGUUUUCUUUUGGAGAAAAUUGGAGAGAACGUGUCUCUCCCUUUCUCUCUAAAGAGGCCGGCCCCCUUGGAGGGAUUAGCUAGUAAUCUUUCUCCU
This 1111-nucleotide long non-coding RNA is filed under the name Malus domestica (apple). RNAcentral describes it as "long non-coding RNA (MDOM_LNC018445)". Lineage: Eukaryota; Viridiplantae; Streptophyta; Magnoliopsida; Rosales; Rosaceae. The record is from RNAcentral.